UCGAUCUCGCUCUCUCCAAGACUCCAUUCUUCCUUUUCUCUCGCUCUCUCGAGACUCAAGCACAAGCUUUACUCCAGGCCACCUCCCACCGAUCGUGACGGCGGUGACCACCAGGCCAUCUCCCCUCAUCUGCUCCUCAUUCGCCUGGAUUCGAUCGGCGAUCGCUAUCGCACCAUUCCGGGGAUUUCCCACAAUCAUCACUAACGCUGCUAUUCUAGGGAUUUCAGAUGUUUGAAAAAUUCAAGACGCCGCUGAUCAAUUAACUGGGAAGACAAAGCAAAUCUCUCAUGUGCCUAUUGAUCUCAGCAUUUAUUCACCGAAUGGUGAUGAUGUUCUGGUGAUAAUCAAAGUUAUGAAUUGGCUCAUCAGCAUAGGCAACCAAUUCCAAUGAUGACUUGAGAUCAUGAGAGCCAGAUUCCUCAAUGGUGAGAGUAUGUGGGAGCACUGCAUAUGUUGCCCAAACUGCAUGGAUUCAGAAUCGAACUAUACAAGAGAACAUCCUAUUUGGCAUGCCGAUGAAUUCAAGAAAAUACAAGGAAGUUCUUCAAGUUUGUUGUCUGAAGAAGGACAUGGAGAUGAUAGAGUUUGGAGACCAGACUGAGAUUAGAGAGAGGGAUUAAUCUGAAUGGUGGCCAAAAGCAGAGAAUUCAAUUUCCAGGGUUGUUUAUCAAGACUCUGAUGUUUAUCUACUUGAUGAUGUCUUCAGUGCUGUUGAUGCUUAUACUAGUUCUGAGAUCUUCAAGAAUCCAUCGAGGAGAUCUCAAAGAUAAAAUAGUCCUGCUUGUUACUCACCAAGUUGACUUCUUGCACAAUAUCAAUUGCAUCUACGGUUAAUUGAAGUUUAUGGAUGGAUUUCUCAACAAUGGAUCCAAUGAAUAGCUAUGAUUCCGGUUAUAAUUAAUUGGGAGCUUUGUCCUCUGCAUUGCCGCUUUGCUAAUUGUCAUGCUUCUGCUAAUAUUAUCCAACCAGAAUAUGUAGGCCUAUCUCUGUCCUACAGCCUACCAGGUUUCAAAUGUCUUCAAUUGAGUCCAUAAUUAAAGGUUCCUGUUAUCAUGAUGUGAUUGAGCAUCCAAUGGACUUUGGGACAAUAAGGAAGUAGCUUGACUUAUGUGAUGAGCCUGAGGAAUUGUUUUAUAGUCGUGUAGAAAACUCAUUGCACGAGUGAGCACUAAAAUUAUUAUUAAUUAAUUGGAUGUUUUG
Molecule: long non-coding RNA, 1200 nt
Organism: Dioscorea cayenensis subsp. rotundata (Guinea yam)
Lineage: Eukaryota; Viridiplantae; Streptophyta; Magnoliopsida; Dioscoreales; Dioscoreaceae
Exons: 8
Source: RefSeq, a predicted model, not a curated record